Molecule: ribosomal RNA, 247 nt
Filed under: uncultured bacterium
Lineage: Bacteria
Description: partial 16S ribosomal RNA
Rfam family: Archaeal small subunit ribosomal RNA
Source: RNAcentral
AUACCCGCGGCCCGAGUUGGUGGUCGAUAUUAUUGAGCCUAAAACGUCCGUAGCCGGUUUUGUAAAUCCUUGGGUAAAUCGACCAGCUUAACUGUUCGAAGUCCGGGAGACUGCAAGACUUGGGAUCGGGAGAGGUGAGAGGUACUUCUGGGGUAGGGGUAAAAUCCUGUAAUCCUAGAAGGACCACCGGUGGCGAAGGCGUCUCACUAGAACGAAUCCGACGGUGAGGGACGAAGCCCUGGGGCGC